Molecule: ribosomal RNA, 412 nt
Filed under: uncultured bacterium
Lineage: Bacteria
Description: bacterial SSU rRNA
Rfam family: Bacterial small subunit ribosomal RNA
Source: RNAcentral
GAUGAAUGCUGGCGGCGUGCCUAAUACAUGCAAGUCGAGCGAACCACUUCGGUGGUGAGCGGCGAACGGGUGAGUAACACGUAGGUUAUCUGCCCAUCAGACGGGGACAACGAUUGGAAACGAUCGCUAAUACCGGAUAGGACGAAAGUUUAAAGGUGCUUUGGCACCACUGAUGGAUGAGCCUGCGGCGCAUUAGCUAGUUGGUAGGGUAAAGGCCUACCAAGGCGACGAUGCGUAGCCGACCUGAGAGGGUGAACGGCCACACUGGGACUGAGACACGGCCCAGACUCCUACGGGAGGCAGCAGUAGGGAAUCUUCGGCAAUGGGCGAAAGCCUGACCGAGCAACGCCGCGUGAAUGAUGAAGGCCUCGGUUGUAAAUUCUGUUAUAAGGGAAGAAGUGGCUCUAGUAGG